GGCGAACGCUGGCGGCGUGCCUAACACAUGCAAGUCGAACGGACAGGCCGGGCUUUUGUGGGGUGCUCGAGUGGCGAAGGGGUGAGGAACACGUGAGUAACCUGUCCCUGACUUUGGGAUAACUUCAGGAAACUGGGGCUCAUACCGGAUAGGAGCUCCUGCUGCAUGGUGGGCGUUGGAAAGUUUCGGCGGUUGGGGAUGGACUCGCGGCUUAUCGGCUUGUUGGUGGGGUAGUGGCUUACCAAGGCUUUGACGGGUAGGCGGCCUGAGAGGGGGACCGGCCACAUUGGGACUGAGAUACGGCCCAGACUCCUACGGGAGGCAGCGGUGGGGAAUAUUGCACAGUGGGCGGAAGCCUGAUGCGGCAACGCCGCGUGCGGGAUGACGGCCUUCGGGUUGUAAACCGCUUUCGCCUGUGACGAGGCGUGAGUGACGGUAAUGGGUAAAGAAGCACCGGCUAACUACGUG
RNAcentral lists this ribosomal RNA (468 nucleotides) under uncultured bacterium. Its description in RNAcentral is "partial 16S ribosomal RNA". It matches the Rfam family "Bacterial small subunit ribosomal RNA", at positions 28 to 507 of the family's 1533-position model. The record is from RNAcentral.